Small nuclear RNA from Rhinolophus ferrumequinum (greater horseshoe bat), 104 nucleotides. The record is from Ensembl. Lineage: Eukaryota; Metazoa; Chordata; Mammalia; Chiroptera; Rhinolophidae.
GCUUGCUUCAGCCAACAUAUACUAAAAUUGGAAUGAUACAGAGAAGAUUACCAUGGUCCCUUCACAAGGGUGACAUGAAAAUUUGUAAAGUGCUCCAUAAUUUU